AUUGAACGCUGGCGGCAUGCCUUACACAUGCAAGUCGAGCGCGAAAGGGGGCAACCCCGAGUAGAGCGGCGGACGGGUGAGUAACGCAUCGGAACGUGCCCAGUAGUGGGGGACAACCUCGAGAAAUCGAGGCUAAUACCGCAUACGACCCACGGGUGAAAGCGGGGGACCGCAAGGCCUCGCGCUAUUGGAGCGGCCGAUGUCCGAUUAGCUAGUUGGCGGGGUAAGAGCCCACCAGGGCGACGAUCGGUAGCUGGUCUGAGAGGACGACCAGCCACACUGGGACUGAGACACGGCCCAGACUCCUACGGGAGGCAGCAGUGGGGAAUUUUGGACAAUGGGGGCAACCCUGAUCCAGCCAUGCCGCGUGCGGGAAGAAGGCCUCGG
RNAcentral lists this ribosomal RNA (387 nucleotides) under uncultured bacterium. Its description in RNAcentral is "bacterial SSU rRNA". It matches the Rfam family "Bacterial small subunit ribosomal RNA", at positions 29 to 420 of the family's 1533-position model. The record is from RNAcentral.